Molecule: ribosomal RNA, 456 nt
Filed under: uncultured bacterium
Lineage: Bacteria
Description: SSU rRNA
Rfam family: Bacterial small subunit ribosomal RNA
Source: RNAcentral
AGGACGAACGCUGGCGGCGUGCUUAACACAUGCAAGUCGAACGAGAAAGUGGAGCAAUCCAUGAGUAAAGUGGCGCACGGGUGAGUAACACGUGACUAACCUACCCUCGAGUGGGGAAUAACUUCGGGAAACCGAGGCUAAUACCGCAUAAAACCUAAGGGUCAAAGGAGCAAUCCGUUUGAGGAGGGGGUCGCGGCAGAUUAGUUAGUUGGCGGGGUAAUGGCCCACCAAGACGAUGAUCUGUAUCCGGCCUGAGAGGGCGCACGGACACACUGGAACUGAAACACGGUCCAGACUCCUACGGGAGGCAGCAGUGGGGAAUUUUGCGCAAUGGGGGAAACCCUGACGCAGCAACGCCGCGUGGAGGAUGAAAUCCCUGGAUGUAAACUCCUUUCGAUCGGAAGAUAAUGACGGUACCGGAAGAAGAAGCCCGGCUAACUUCGCGCCAGCAGCCGC